UACGGAGGAUGCAAGCGUUAUCCGGAUUUAUUGGGUUUAAAGGGUUCGUAGGCGGAAAAGUAAGUCAGUGGUGAAAGCCUGCAGCUCAACUGUAGAACUGCCAUUGAAACUAUUUUUCUUGAAUAUAUAUGAAGUAGGCGGAAUGCGUCAUGUAGCGGUGAAAUGCACAGAUAUGACGCAGAACACCGAUAGCGAAGGCA
RNAcentral lists this ribosomal RNA (200 nucleotides) under uncultured bacterium. RNAcentral describes it as "partial 16S ribosomal RNA". It matches the Rfam family "Bacterial small subunit ribosomal RNA", at positions 524 to 723 of the family's 1533-position model. The record is from RNAcentral.